GACGAACGCUGGCGGCGUGCUUAACGCAUGCAAGUCGAGCGGUAAGGCCCUUUCGGGGGUACACGAGCGGCGAACGGGUGAGUAACACGUGGGUGACCUGCCCUCAGCUCUGGGAUAAGCCUGGGAAACUGGGUCUAAUACCGGAUAUGACUCCAUGACGCAUGUUGUGGGGUGGAAAGCCUUGUGCGGCUGAGGAUGGGCCCGCGGCCUAUCAGCUUGUUGGUGGGGUGANGGCCUACCAAGGCGACGACGGGUAGCCGGCCUGAGAGGGCGACCGGCCACACUGGGACUGAGACACGGCCCAGACUCCUACGGGAGGCAGCAGUGGGGAAUCUUGCGCAAUGGGCGAAAGCCUGACGCAGCGACGCCGCGUGAGGGAUGACGGCCUGG
This 390-nucleotide ribosomal RNA is filed under the name uncultured bacterium. RNAcentral describes it as "bacterial SSU rRNA". It matches the Rfam family "Bacterial small subunit ribosomal RNA", at positions 28 to 419 of the family's 1533-position model. The record is from RNAcentral.